GUCACACCCAGGGGCGGCUAUGCUUUGACUAAGCCACACCCCUUUUCAACUUCCACCUCGAGGAGGUCCCCAAAGCCAACCCAAUGGCCAAACAACACGAGAAACAAGUAAGUGAUAAAACAAUCUUUAUUUAAAUAUUUAAAAAUAGCUUGGGGAAUAGGGAAAGGGCAAUUAAAACUAAACUCUGACUCGGCCCUCCAGAUGGGCUAUGGCCGGGAAGAGGUCAGGGAGCAAGGGGGCCACGGGGAUCCGGGGCGUGGGACUCGGGGCCCGGCCAGAGUCUUAGGUAUCCGUAGCGCCCUCCUUCUUCCUCCUCUUCGCUGAAUACAACUCACGGUAAGUACUGGUUCACACAGUUCGUUCUCGGGGUGCUCACUCUCUUUCUCUUCCUCCACAGGCAACGGCUGGGACGCAAAGGCACAGUUAAUUCGGCUUGGUAUUGCUCUCACCUCUUCGCUGAUUGCAGCUCACAGUAAGUACUAGUUCACACAGUUCGUUCCUUGGGUGCUCACUCGCUUUCUCUUUCUCCACAGGCAGCGGCGUAAGUACAGGUUUCCUCGGUCUCUCCUCGUGUUACCCACUCUCUCUCCUCCUCUCUACAGGUAUCAACUUGGACACAAAAUACAGUUACUCUGCUUUGGAUGGCUUUCACCUCUUCGCUGAUUGCAGCUCACAGUAAGUACUGGUUCACACAGUUCGUUCCUUGGGUGCUCACUCGCUUUCUCUUUCUCCACAGGCAGCGGCGUAAGUACAGGUUUCCUCGGUCUCUCCUCGUGUUACCCACUCUCUCUCCUUUUCUCUCCACAGGUAUCAACUUGGGCACAAUAGCACAGUUAGUUUGCUUUGAAUGGCUCUCACCUCUGGGCUGGACACAGCGUACUGUAAGAAAAAGGUUUCGCUCUAUUUCUCCUCGCGUUAUCCACUCUCUCUCCUCCUCUCUACAGGUAUCAACUUGGACACAAAACACAGUUACUCUGCUUUGGAUGGCUUUCACCUCUGGGCUGGACACAACGUACUGUAUCAGAUUGGACACAAAGCACAGUUAGUUUGCUUUGAAUAGCUCCCACCUCUGGGCUGAACACAGCGUACCGUGCUAUCUCCGGAGAUCUGAAGCACGCUCACAACAUAUACUGUACUGAACUAGGCUAGAACCAGCAGUCUCCUUGUCCUCCCGCGACGGAGUGCGUGAAGGAGGGGGUUUAUCUGACAGGACACACGGCAAUACACAGCAACCCACAGCAAUAUACAGCACCACGUCAAAAUUUUAGGUUUUCACAGCACGAAGACUCACCCACCACACUCAGUGUACGAAAAGGACACCCGUCUUCCUUCACUUCGCUUGGUUCGGAUCUGGCGAUGGAAUAUGCGGCCUAGCUAGUGAUGUCGUCGUUGUGACUACUUCAAUAAGUAUUCCUUCGGCUCUCCCACCACGCUAUAUUAGGGGUAGGGCCGCCCUCCUCCUCCUGGGGAGAUCUACACAACGCCAGGUCAAUAUACAGGGCACUUUCGGCUUGCUCUUAGUACUCACAUCAAUGCCGCUUCCAAUCCCCUUUUUCACGUCGUCUCAAUUCGCCGUAUAAUCCGUUCACUUCUCAACCUUUAAGGUUCGCGAUGUCUUCACAAUCAUACAAUUCCAGCCUGAGGGAGAGAGAGAGUUAGACAGCCACCAGCAGCGCACCAAGACGGGCACGACACAGUGCUUCACACACACCAGAAAGAGCUCCCAGACUGUGAAAUAACUUGGCCUUAAGUACUGCCUUGUCCAGCGUAUCCUCCAAUCACCAACCGCUGUCCCUAACUAGGCACAGGUGCAUCGAAUUCCCUGAUUU
Molecule: long non-coding RNA, 1829 nt
Filed under: Carassius auratus (goldfish)
Lineage: Eukaryota; Metazoa; Chordata; Actinopteri; Cypriniformes; Cyprinidae
Description: lncRNA (ENSCARG00000025446.1)
Source: RNAcentral